GGAACAUCCAGGUGCUCUUGUGCAAACUGUAAACGUGCAGCCAUGUUUUGUUUGGACAGCAGUGCCUUCCUCUGGUAUCCUCCCAUGAAAUCCAUUCUUGUUUAGUGUUUUACGUAUUGUAGAUUCGCUAACAGGGAUGUUAGCAUUUGCCAGUGACUUUUGUAAGUCUUUAGCUGACACUCUAGGAUUCUUCUUCACCUCAUUGAGCAGUCUGCGCUGUGCUCUUGCAGUCAUCUUUACAGGACGGCC
Non-coding RNA from Pelobates cultripes (western spadefoot toad), 249 nucleotides. NCBI's taxonomy places the organism in Eukaryota, Metazoa, Chordata, Amphibia, Anura, Pelobatidae. The record is from the annotation of a GenBank genome assembly.